RNAcentral lists this transfer RNA (67 nucleotides) under Marmota monax (woodchuck). RNAcentral's name for it is "tRNA.Thr". The record is from RNAcentral. Lineage: Eukaryota; Metazoa; Chordata; Mammalia; Rodentia; Sciuridae.
GGUUAUGGCUCAGCGGUAGAGCACUUGCCUAGUAUAUGCAAAGCCCUGGUUUCGAUCCUCAGCACCA